This is a long non-coding RNA of Dicentrarchus labrax (European seabass), 397 nucleotides long. RefSeq lists it as uncharacterized. Lineage: Eukaryota; Metazoa; Chordata; Actinopteri; Moronidae. The record is from RefSeq and is a predicted model, not a curated record. The transcript is spliced from 3 exons.
CACUGUUAAAGUAUUUAGGAGGAGGCACUGACUCAGCCCAGGGGCAAUCCACCUCCUCAGGAGCAGCCAAGGCUGAUGAAUCAGGUCCAUCUCUAUCCUCUGCUCCAUCCACUGUGCCCACUGUCCUCUCUGCAACCUCAGCUGUACCUGGUCCUUCAUCUUUGGUCAUCAAGAUUGAUGUGUCUUCUUCAGCAUCCAGUUUGGAGCAGGGUUCAGCAGCUCCGCCAGUUGACCCAGCUGAGUGUCCCUCUUUCCUGUCAGACUCAGAAAGGACUGAACAGGUAUUAAGAGGGCCACUGCCUAUAAAGGACACAUUCACAUUCCCAAAAAGACACGUGGCAGUAAUAGAGGGCCCCAAAAUCAAAUUUUGCUUAGGGCCCCAUGGAGGCUUGGGCCG